AGCCAGACAUGAAGGAUGAUAACAGAUGAAGUGGCAGGAAUGAGUUGAGGGAGUUGAACAUUUUCCUUUCAUUUCCUUCAAGUUGUUGAGUUACUGUUGCCUGUGGACCUUUGCCCAUUCUUUCCCCUCUGCCUGGGAUGCUUUCCCUCAGGCCAGGGUACAACUGGAUCCUUCUCACAAAGCCACCUCCUCAAAGAGGCCCUCUCUAGUCUCGUUCCCCACUCCCACCCUGCCCCAUCACUCUGCCACCUCUCAUCCAUCACCUGCCUAUUCAUUACUGUUCCCACCACUACAAGACAGGUGAACUAAGACCUUCAUAGCAGUUAAAUAAGGAGCCAGUUCAAGGUUCCAAAUGGUAUGCUCGAAGAUGAUGGGCAAUCACUGCAUUUCAAAGCAUGUCAUGAUUGACUAUCAAGGACAGAAAAACACCAAUAAAGAUCACAUCAGAAAGCUAAUCAACUUUCCAAAGUAUAUCAGGAAAGUCAGUCUUAAAGUUCACCUUUGAAGAUUAGUGUAUUAUUGAU
This is a long non-coding RNA of Neofelis nebulosa (Clouded leopard), 524 nucleotides long. RefSeq lists it as uncharacterized. The record is from RefSeq and is a predicted model, not a curated record. The transcript is spliced from 3 exons. Lineage: Eukaryota; Metazoa; Chordata; Mammalia; Carnivora; Felidae.